GGGGUACUGUAAGUGGUAGAGUAGCCUUGUUGCUACGAUCCACUGAGGUUAAGCCCUUGUUCUAAAGAUUUGUUCAACUUUGUUGGACUUUCUCUUUCUCUUUUUUCUUUACAUGCUGAAUGGUGAGGGCCGGGAUAGUAUCCUUUGUGCACUCCCAACAGCAUGUUUCGAACUUGUAAAGCUAACGUUUUCGUUACCUUUCUUGUAAGAAUCAUGAGGUAGAAGGGGUCUGGUUAGCAAGCUUUCUUUCUUUGAACGCGCGCUGACUCUUUACCUUGUACUUGGAUAUCGGCCUUAUGGUUGAUAUUCGGUAUAUGGUAUAGCCAAAGGACUCCUAAAAAGGCAUUCAGUGCGACUGGAUUGCCUUUUUUAGGCCUUGAAAUCGUCUUUGGGACUAAGUAAGCUAAGCUAUGGUUACUUUUGUAACCGUUGCGACUGUUUGCUUGGGUUUCAAGCCGAAUUGAAGGGUAACUGGUACUGAACUGAAAGGUUUACUAAGUUUACUAAGUAAACCAUUCAUCAAGUCCGGUUUGUGAUAAUCUUGGGGGCUCUAAAGUGUGUUUUCUAAGAGCUGGGACUAUAGUUGAGUUGGU
RNAcentral lists this unclassified non-coding RNA (593 nucleotides) under Armillaria mellea. RNAcentral describes it as "partial contains 28S ribosomal RNA and intergenic spacer 1". The stretch from base 1 to 73 matches the Rfam family "Eukaryotic large subunit ribosomal RNA", at positions 3329 to 3401 of the family's 3401-position model. Lineage: Eukaryota; Fungi; Basidiomycota; Agaricomycetes; Agaricales; Physalacriaceae. The record is from RNAcentral.